This 446-nucleotide long non-coding RNA is filed under the name Olea europaea (common olive). RNAcentral's name for it is "long non-coding RNA (OEUR_LNC010956)". Lineage: Eukaryota; Viridiplantae; Streptophyta; Magnoliopsida; Lamiales; Oleaceae. The record is from RNAcentral.
ACAAAAUGUUUUUCCAUGCAGUUGCCACAGUCAUCAAAAGUAGACUGUUGUGAAGGUUUCUCUUUCUUUGACAACGAAAUCGAUUGGUUCCAUCUCCAAUUAUAGCAAGAAUGUGUGCACCAACACUUUGACGAUCAUUCAAGUCAUGAGUAUGAGUCUGCUCAUAUGUCAUCAUACAUUGGUGAAAUUAGUAUUCCGAGAUAAAGCCCGUAGAAAACAAUGUGAAGAAAUGUAAUAACGUUCACCUUAUGUGCAAAAACAAUCUGAUCACAGUACAUAAUAUAACUCAAUUGAUUCAUGCAAUCUAUCAUAAUCUGAAUUCAAACAAGCAACUUCCACAAAAAUAGAUUUGAAUUACAUGUGAUCAAAAAAUUAUGAAGAAUGAAUCGUGACGGUGGUGGUAUUGUUAUACAAAUAAAAAUGUGAAACACAAAAAUAUAACCACA